UAGUGGCGAACGGGUGAGUAACACGUGGGUAACCUGCCCAUCAGAAGGGGAUAACUAUUGGAAACGAUAGCUAAUACCGUAUACGAUACUAAGUCGCAUGGCUAAGUAUUGAAAGAAGCGUUUGCUUCGCUGAUGGAUGGACCCGCGGUGCAUUAGCUAGUUGGUGAGGUAAAGGCUCACCAAGGCGACGAUGCAUAGCCGGGCUGAGAGGCUGAUCGGCCACAUUGGAACUGAGACACGGUCCAAACACC
RNAcentral lists this ribosomal RNA (251 nucleotides) under uncultured bacterium. RNAcentral describes it as "partial 16S ribosomal RNA". It matches the Rfam family "Bacterial small subunit ribosomal RNA", at positions 93 to 339 of the family's 1533-position model. The record is from RNAcentral.